RNAcentral lists this ribosomal RNA (164 nucleotides) under Crawfurdia pricei. RNAcentral's name for it is "5.8S ribosomal RNA". It matches the Rfam family "5.8S ribosomal RNA". Rfam says of the family: 5.8S ribosomal RNA (5.8S rRNA) is a component of the large subunit of the eukaryotic ribosome. It is transcribed by RNA polymerase I as part of the 45S precursor that also contains 18S and 28S rRNA. Functionally, it is thought that 5.8S rRNA may be involved in ribosome translocation. The record is from RNAcentral. Lineage: Eukaryota; Viridiplantae; Streptophyta; Magnoliopsida; Gentianales; Gentianaceae.
GAAAUGACUCUCGGCAACGGAUAUCUCGGCUCUCGCAUCGAUGAAGAACGUAGCGAAAUGCGAUACUUGGUGUGAAUUGCAGAAUCCCGUGAACCAUCGAGUCUUUGAACGCAAGUUGCGCCCAAAGCCAUUAGGCCGAGGGCACGUCUGCUUGGGCGUCACGC